GUCAUUAUGGCUGAUAAAGGCUUUCUUUGCAUAUUUGCUUGGGGGGUGUUUAUUAGUUACGUGGUUUCGGGGAUGUUACCGUAAAGGUGCAUGAGUGGUGUUUGGCGUGUUACGGGUGGUUGGCUCUUUGCUUGCGCAACAACUUCCACCUGGCAUGCCUUUUCAGUUUUGUUUCAAUGCUUCGAUUGCAUUGAUCGCGCGAUGGGUUUCUUGUGUUGCAUUCCUAAUUGAUGGUAUCGUUUGACGGAUCGCUCAAUAUAUUCGUCMUGUGUCGCGAACGCGAUGCGAGAUGAACUUUAAGGCAGCCUUUGUGAUCCACUCUUUUGAUGCGUAACCGCAUUGAUUUUGUGGCUCUCUGAGUGUUUGCUUGUUUUCAUGGAUAUGGAACCUUGUGUGGGCAUGUGAUCUUUUAAUAGUUCAUUAUUUGCUCUAUUAAUGCUUUCGUAAAUACGAUUUCCUAUCAUGUGCUAACGUGGUAGGAUGUAUCGGAUAUGAAUGCUACCUGG
RNAcentral lists this unclassified non-coding RNA (506 nucleotides) under Chrysocephalum semipapposum. RNAcentral describes it as "partial external transcribed spacer". The record is from RNAcentral. Lineage: Eukaryota; Viridiplantae; Streptophyta; Magnoliopsida; Asterales; Asteraceae.